GAAAAGUGGAAAAUAGUGUGCAGUAAAGUGGUUAAAAGUGAAGUUACAGUGUGAAGUGUGUGUUUUCCGUGUGAAAAUCGUGUGAAAAACUACCCUAAGACUGAUUCCAUCCGGCUCCACAUCUCAAUGGCGGCGCUGCUGUCUUCCCGCUCAAUCUGCGCGCGCAAAUGGUCUCGGCUAUCGGUCUUCGAAGCCUUGAAUUUCAGUGUCAUCAAGUGAUUUUACAAAUGAUCCGCA
Molecule: long non-coding RNA, 237 nt
Organism: Phlebotomus papatasi
Lineage: Eukaryota; Metazoa; Arthropoda; Insecta; Diptera; Psychodidae
Exons: 3
Source: RefSeq, a predicted model, not a curated record